GAAAUGCGAUAAGUAAUGUGAAUUGCAGAAUUCAGUGAAUCAUCGAAUCUUUGAACGCACAUUGCGCCCGCCAGUAUUCUGGCGGGCAUGCCUGUUCGAGCGUCAUUUCAACCAUCAAGCCCCCGGCUUGUGUUGGGGACCUGCGGCUGCCCGCAGGCCCUGAAAAACAGUGGCGGGCUCGCUGUCACACCGAGCGUAGUAGCAUACAUUCUCGCUCAGGGCGUGCUGCGGGUUCCGGCCGUUAAACGACCUUCAUAACCCAAGGUUGACCUCGGAUCAGGUAGGAAGACCCGCUGAACGUAAGC
RNAcentral lists this unclassified non-coding RNA (305 nucleotides) under plant metagenome. RNAcentral's name for it is "partial contains 5.8S ribosomal RNA, internal transcribed spacer 2, and large subunit ribosomal RNA". The stretch from base 1 to 105 matches the Rfam family "5.8S ribosomal RNA", at positions 50 to 154 of the family's 154-position model. The record is from RNAcentral.